RNAcentral lists this ribosomal RNA (1191 nucleotides) under metagenome. Its description in RNAcentral is "SSU rRNA". It matches the Rfam family "Eukaryotic small subunit ribosomal RNA", at positions 493 to 1725 of the family's 1831-position model. The record is from RNAcentral.
CUCAUGGUUUCACGGUAUUGCAAUGAGAACAAUUUAAAACCCUUAGCGAGAAUCAAGUGGAGGACAAGUCUGGUGCCAGCACCCGCGGUAAUUCCAGCUCCACUAGCGUAUAUUAAAGUUGUUGCAGUUAAAAAGCUCGUAGUUGAACCUCUGUCUGGGGCUAGUUUUGGCUUUGGUCAGGCUAGUUCUAGGCAUCCGCCUACAAGACUUAGAGGGCAUUCAGUUGUUCACUAGGAGGAGUAGGCAUUUUACUUUGAAAAAAUUAGAGUGUUUAAGGCAGGCAAUCGCCCGCAUAUAUUAGCAUGGAAUAAUAGAAUAGGACACUUUUCCAUUUCGUUGGUUAUUGGAAUCGUGUAAUGAUUAAUAGGGACAGUUGUGGGCAUUUGUAUUUAAUUGUCAGAGGUGAAAUUCUUGGAUUUAUUAAAGACAAACUAACGCGAAAGCAUUUGCCAAGGAUGUUUUCAUUAAUCAAGAACGGAGGUUAGGGGAUCAAAGACGAUCAGAUACCGUCCUAGUCUUAACUAUAAACUAUUCCGACUCAAUGUUUGACUGGCUUAUAUAACCAGUUGAGCGUUGUAUGAGAAAUCAAAGUCUUUAGGUUCUGGGGGGAGUAUGGUUGCAAAGCUGAAACUUAAAGGAAUUGACGGAAGAGCACAACCAGGAGUGGAUUCUGCGGCUUAAUUUGACUCAACACGGGGAAACUUACCAGGUUAAAACAAUAGUGGGAUUGACAGUUUGAGAGCGCUUUCUUGAUUGGUUGGGUGGUGGUGCAUGGCCGUCCUUAGUUGGUGGAGUGAUUUGUCUGCUUAAUUGCGUUAACGAACGAGACCUUAACCUGCUUACUAGACUGGCGAUCAUCAAUCGUUAGCUCUUCUUAGAGGGACUUUGGUUGUUUUAACUCCAAGGAAGUUUGAGGCAAUAACAGGUCUGUGAUGCCCUUAGAUAUCCUGGGCCGCACGCGUCAUACAAUGACUAGUUCAGAAAGUUUUCUCCUGACCCGAAAGGGGAUGGGUAAUCUUGAUAAUACUAGUCGUGUUAGGGAUCGAUCUUUGCAAUUAUAGAUCUUGAACGAGGAAUUCCUAGUAAGUGCGGUUCAUCAGACCGUACUGAUUACGUCCCUGCUCUUUGUACACACCGCCCGUCGCUUCUACCGAGUGGGUGGUCCGGUGAGAUAAUUGAACUUCGCAGGUA